AGUGAACGCUGGCGGUAGGCCUAACACAUGCAAGUCGAACGGCAGCACAGUAAGAGCUUGCUCUUACGGGUGGCGAGUGGCGGAAGGGUGAGUAAUACAUCGGAAUCUACUUUUUCGUGGGGGAUAACGUAGGGAAACUUACGCUAAUACCGCAUACGACCUACGGGUGAAAGCAGGGGAUCUUCGGACCUUUCGCGAUUGAAUGAGCCUAUGUCGGAUUAGCUAGUUGGCGGGGUAAAGGCCCACCAAGGCAACGAUCCGUAGCUGGUCUGAGAGGAUGAUCAGCCACACUGGAACUGAGACACGGUCCAGACUCCUACGGGAGGAAGCAGUGGGGAAUAUUGGACAAUGGGCGCAAGCCUGAUCCAGCCAUACCGCGUGGGUGAAGAAGGCCUUCGGGUUGUAAAGCCCUUUUGUUGGGAAAGAAAAGCAGCAGGUUAAUACCCCGCUGUUCUGACGGUACCCAAAGAAUAAGCACCGGCUAACUUCGUG
RNAcentral lists this ribosomal RNA (492 nucleotides) under uncultured bacterium. RNAcentral describes it as "partial 16S ribosomal RNA". It matches the Rfam family "Bacterial small subunit ribosomal RNA", at positions 29 to 507 of the family's 1533-position model. The record is from RNAcentral.